This 45-nucleotide non-coding RNA is filed under the name Trichobilharzia regenti. Lineage: Eukaryota; Metazoa; Platyhelminthes; Trematoda; Strigeidida; Schistosomatidae. The record is from RNAcentral.
AUUUGCUGAAGAGUCCCAAACUAGGAUGAAACAGCUGUCCAGUAU